RNAcentral lists this ribosomal RNA (734 nucleotides) under uncultured Cellulosimicrobium sp. RNAcentral's name for it is "bacterial SSU rRNA". It matches the Rfam family "Bacterial small subunit ribosomal RNA", at positions 28 to 776 of the family's 1533-position model. Lineage: Bacteria; Bacillati; Actinomycetota; Actinomycetes; Micrococcales; Promicromonosporaceae. The record is from RNAcentral.
GACGAACGCUGGCGGCGUGCUUAACACAUGCAAGUCGAACGAUGAUGCCCAGCUUGCUGGGCGGAUUAGUGGCGAACGGGUGAGUAACACGUGAGUAACCUGCCCUUGACUUCGGGAUAACUCCGGGAAACCGGGGCUAAUACCGGAUAUGAGCCGUCCUCGCAUGGGGGUGGUUGGAAAGUUUUUCGGUCAGGGAUGGGCUCGCGGCCUAUCAGCUUGUUGGUGGGGUGAUGGCCUACCAAGGCGACGACGGGUAGCCGGCCUGAGAGGGCGACCGGCCACACUGGGACUGAGACACGGCCCAGACUCCUACGGGAGGCAGCAGUGGGGAAUAUUGCACAAUGGGCGAAAGCCUGAUGCAGCGACGCUGCGUGAGGGAUGAAGGCCUUCGGGUUGUAAACCUCUUUCAGCAGGGAAGAAGCGCAAGUGACGGUACCUGCAGAAGAAGCGCCGGCUAACUACGUGCCAGCAGCCGCGGUAAUACGUAGGGCGCAAGCGUUGUCCGGAAUUAUUGGGCGUAAAGAGCUCGUAGGCGGUUUGUCGCGUCUGGUGUGAAAACUCGAGGCUCAACCUCGAGCUUGCAUCGGGUACGGGCAGACUAGAGUGCGGUAGGGGAGACUGGAAUUCCUGGUGUAGCGGUGGAAUGCGCAGAUAUCAGGAGGAACACCGAUGGCGAAGGCAGGUCUCUGGGCCGCAACUGACGCUGAGGAGCGAAAGCAUGGGGAGCGAACAGG